GGUGGGUUGCCCGAGCGGCCUAAGGGAACGGUCUUGAAAACCGUAGGGACGUGAAAGCGUUCCCGUGGGUUCGAAUCCCACCGCCUCCG
This 89-nucleotide transfer RNA is filed under the name Streptomyces sp. JV178. RNAcentral's name for it is "tRNA-Ser". It matches the Rfam family "tRNA". Rfam says of the family: Transfer RNA (tRNA) molecules are approximately 80 nucleotides in length. Their secondary structure includes four short double-helical elements and three loops (D, anti-codon, and T loops). Lineage: Bacteria; Bacillati; Actinomycetota; Actinomycetes; Kitasatosporales; Streptomycetaceae. The record is from RNAcentral.